UGUCCGAUGGUGUAAUGGCAGCACAGCAGAUUUUGGUUCUGCUGGUUCAGGUUCGAGUCCUGGUCGGACAA
RNAcentral lists this transfer RNA (71 nucleotides) under Bacteroidetes bacterium GWE2_42_42. Its description in RNAcentral is "tRNA-Gln". It matches the Rfam family "tRNA". From Rfam's summary of the family: Transfer RNA (tRNA) molecules are approximately 80 nucleotides in length. Their secondary structure includes four short double-helical elements and three loops (D, anti-codon, and T loops). Further hydrogen bonds mediate the characteristic L-shaped molecular structure. tRNAs have two regions of fundamental functional importance: the anti-codon, which is responsible for specific mRNA codon recognition, and the 3' end, to which the tRNAs corresponding amino acid is attached (by aminoacyl-tRNA synthetases). tRNAs cope with the degeneracy of the genetic code in two manners: having more than one tRNA (with a specific anti-codon) for a particular amino acid; and 'wobble' base-pairing, i.e. permitting non-standard base-pairing at the 3rd anti-codon position. RNAcentral also lists the same sequence under 2 other names. Lineage: Bacteria; Pseudomonadati; Bacteroidota. The record is from RNAcentral.